AUGUCGUGGUGUGGUCACUUGACCAGCAUCCCCUUGAACCUCUCCCAUAUUUCUUACAGUGUUUCCGCUGGUUUCUGCCUGAAGCUUAAGAUCUCAUCAAUUU
Molecule: small nucleolar RNA, 103 nt
Filed under: Nicotiana sylvestris (wood tobacco)
Lineage: Eukaryota; Viridiplantae; Streptophyta; Magnoliopsida; Solanales; Solanaceae
Also listed under: 1 other name
Description: Plant small nucleolar RNA R71
Rfam family: Plant small nucleolar RNA R71
About the family: R71 is a member of the C/D box family of snoRNAs containing the C (UGAUGA) and D (CUGA) box motifs. Multiple nearly identical copies of this snoRNA have been identified in Arabidopsis, and it is thought to function as a 2'-O-ribose methylation guide for 18S ribosomal RNA.
Source: Rfam by way of RNAcentral